GUGCUCACUUGGGCAGCACAUUUUCUAAAACUAGAAUGAUACAUAGAUGAUUAGCAUGGUCCAUACACAAGGAUGACAUGAUUUUACAAAUUCUCAAGUAUUAU
Saimiri boliviensis boliviensis (Bolivian squirrel monkey) is the source of this 104-nucleotide small nuclear RNA. The record is from Ensembl. Lineage: Eukaryota; Metazoa; Chordata; Mammalia; Primates; Cebidae.